RNAcentral lists this ribosomal RNA (468 nucleotides) under uncultured bacterium. Its description in RNAcentral is "partial 16S ribosomal RNA". It matches the Rfam family "Bacterial small subunit ribosomal RNA", at positions 28 to 507 of the family's 1533-position model. The record is from RNAcentral.
GACGAACGCUGGCGGCGUGCUUAACACAUGCAAGUCGAACGGAAAGGCCCUGCUUUUGUGGGGUGCUCGAGUGGCGAACGGGUGAGUAACACGUGAGUAACCUGCCCUUGACUUUGGGAUAACUUCAGGAAACUGGGGCUAAUACCGGAUAGGAGCUCCUGCUGCAUGGUGGGGGUUGGAAAGUUUCGGCGGUUGGGGAUGGACUCUCGGCUUAUCAGCUUGUUGGUGGGGUAGUGGCUUACCAAGGCUUUGACGGGUAGCCGGCCUGAGAGGGUGACCGGCCAGAUUGGGACUGAGAUACGGCCAAGAAUCCGACGGGAGGCAGGAGUGAGGAAUAGUGCACAAUGGGAGGAAGCCUGAUGCAGCAACGCCGCGUGCGGGAUGACGGCCUUCGGGUUGUAAGCCGCUUUCGCCUGUGACGAAGAGUGAGUGACGGUAAUGGGUAAAGAAGCACCGGCUAACUACGUG